UACGAAGGGGGCUAGCGUUGUUCGGAAUUACUGGGCGUAAAGGGCGCGUAGGCGGUACUUCAAGUCAGGCGUGAAAGCCCCGGGCUCAACCUGGGAACCGCGCUUGAGACUGGAGAACUAGAGUUCGGGAGAGGAUGGUGGAAUUCCCAGUGUAGAGGUGAAAUGCGCAGAUAUCAGGAGGAACACCAGUGGCGAAGGCGGUGCUCUGGGCCGGAACUGACGCUGAGGAGCGAAAGCGUGGGGAGCAAACAGG
Molecule: ribosomal RNA, 253 nt
Filed under: uncultured bacterium
Lineage: Bacteria
Description: partial 16S ribosomal RNA
Rfam family: Bacterial small subunit ribosomal RNA
Source: RNAcentral